UCCCUGGUGGCUCAGAGGUUAAAGCGUCUGCCUGUAAUGCAGGAGACCCGAGUUCGAUCCCUGGGCUGGGAA
This 72-nucleotide transfer RNA is filed under the name Ovis aries (sheep). It matches the Rfam family "tRNA". Rfam says of the family: Transfer RNA (tRNA) molecules are approximately 80 nucleotides in length. Their secondary structure includes four short double-helical elements and three loops (D, anti-codon, and T loops). Further hydrogen bonds mediate the characteristic L-shaped molecular structure. tRNAs have two regions of fundamental functional importance: the anti-codon, which is responsible for specific mRNA codon recognition, and the 3' end, to which the tRNAs corresponding amino acid is attached (by aminoacyl-tRNA synthetases). tRNAs cope with the degeneracy of the genetic code in two manners: having more than one tRNA (with a specific anti-codon) for a particular amino acid; and 'wobble' base-pairing, i.e. permitting non-standard base-pairing at the 3rd anti-codon position. The record is from Rfam by way of RNAcentral. Lineage: Eukaryota; Metazoa; Chordata; Mammalia; Artiodactyla; Bovidae.